Molecule: long non-coding RNA, 713 nt
Filed under: Mytilus galloprovincialis (Mediterranean mussel)
Lineage: Eukaryota; Metazoa; Mollusca; Bivalvia; Mytilida; Mytilidae
Source: RNAcentral
GUCCGUCCGUCCGUCCGUAACACUUUGUGUCCGCUCCAUAUCUAGAGAACCAUUAUGAUUUCAUACUUUAUACUUUACAUGUUUAUUAACCACCACCAGAGGGCGUGUCAUGAUGUAUGUACAACUUCCUAGGUCAAAGGUCAAGGUCAAAAAACUUUGGUUUCAGUUGACAACCCUGUGUCCUGUGAUGAAGAUCGUGUCCGCUCUAUAUCUUGAGAACCGUUAUGAUUUCAAAGUUUAUACUUGACAUGUAUAUGAACCAACACCAGAGGGUGUGUCAUAAUUUAUGAACGACUGCCUAGGGCAUAGUUCAAGGUCAAAAACUUUGGUUUCAGUUGACAACCCCAUGUCCUAUGGUAAAGAUUGUGUCCGCUCUAUAUCUUGAGAACCGUUAUCAUUUCAAAGUUUAUAACUUGACAUGUAUAUAAACCAACACCAAAGGGUGUGUCAUAAUUUAUGUGCAACUUCCUAGGUCAAAGGUCAAGGUCAAAAACUUUGGUUUCAGUUGACAACCCCAUGUUCUAUGGUAAAGAUCGUGUCCGCUCUAUAUCUUGAGAACCUUUAUCAUUUCAAAGUUUAUACUUGACAUGUUUAUAACCACACCAAAGGGGUGUGUUCAUAAUUUAUUUACAACUUCAUAGGUCAAAGGUCAAGGUCAAAAACUUUGAUUUCAGUUGACAAACCCAUGUCCUAUGGUAAAGAUACAAUUUUUU